AGUCGACGCUGGCGUAGCUCGGCUCAGCCCGGCGGAGUCUGACUUCCGGAGGGCCAGCGCGCGCUGGCUGGUUACCAAGGUUACCACCGAGACGCCGAGUCCUCAGCUGGUCCUAGACAUGCGUGGCGUCGGGGCUGUGGCACGGUCGGGUCCGGGGACACUUGUUUAACAAGACAUCUGCCCACGUCCCUGGCCCAUCUCAUUGGCUGCAGCACAUCACAGUGGACCUUCUGCCUCCUCCCAGAUGCACAGGGACAGUGAUCUGGAAGGAAGGGGCUUGAGGCUGUUUUCCUAGAACUCGACUUGAAUGCACCAAGGAAAGGCCAUUUGUGGGGACAUAGCAAGAAGGCAGCUGUCUGCAAGCCAGGAGGAGAACCCUCACCAGAAACCUCACAGAAAUCGGCCAGCACCCUCAUCUCGGGCUUCCAGCUUCAGAACAACGAGAAAACAAAUUUCUGUUGCAUAAGCACCCCAGUCUAUGGUCCUGGUUCCCAUUUGUAAUUGGCACCCUAAUGAAACCGUUUUCUGUAGCCCUGGAAAUGGCUGAAAAUGAGGGGAGGGAAAUAAAGUGCUAUAAUUCAGAGCAUGGAGCACACCUUCCUGGUUCACCUGAGCUGGAUUCGGAGAGGUAAGAUGGCCAUUACCUCGUCUAAGCUGCCACUUACAGACACAGUACAGGAUGAGGCCCAGGCCCACAGAGACAACGAUGAUGGCCACAGCUAAGAUGAUCCAGAAAUUAUUCCUCCACCAGCUCAUUGCAGUGGAAUCCUGAGAAGAAUGGAGAGAGAAGAAUGAGGUAUGAAUGAAAGAUAUCCUGGGGUUGGGUGGAAUGGGGCAGUUAUCUACUGUGGGUUUUUUUGUUUUUUUUUUUUUCUGAGUCGGAGUCUCACUCUGUCGCCUAGGCUGCAGUGCAAUGACGUGAUCUCAGCUCUCAGCUCACUGCAACCUCCACCUCCCGGGUUCAAGUGAUUCUCCUGCCUCAGCCUCCAGAGUAACGGGGACUACAGGCACCUGCCACCAUGCCUGGCUAAUUUUUGUAUUUUUAGUAGAGAUGGGGUUUCGCCACGUUGGCCAGGCUGGUCUGGAACUCCUGAUCUCAGGUGAUUCACCUGUCUUGGCCUCCCAAAGUACUGGGAUUACAGACAUGAGCCACUGUGCCCAGCUGAUCUACUGUGUUGUGUAGAGAUGCAGACAUCUGCUUAGGAAUUAGGCACUGGUUCACAACCAUACCCUACUCAUUAACACCUGGGGGACCUCAGGCAUGUCACUCGACCUUCUGUGAGCCUCAUCUAUAAUAUGGGAAUAAUAUCUCCUACUUCACUGAGGUUUGUGAGGACUGGAGAUCAAGCAUGUACCUACUGGGCCCUCUAGAAAUGGUAGACAUCAUCACUGUUCUUUCAGACAUGCAGCAGGAGGGGGAAGGUGCCAUUUAAAGCAAUAAUUGACUGCAGGGUUGUUGUUUUUUUUCUUGAGACGGAGUCUCGCUCUGUGACCCAGGCUGGAGUGCAGUGGCGCGAUCUGGGCUCUCUGCAAACUCUGCUUCCCGGGUUCACAUCAUUCUCCUGCCUCAGCCUCCCGAGUAGCUGGGACUACAGGUGCCCGCCACCACGCCCGGCUGAUUUUUUUGUAUUUUUUUAGUAGAGACGGGGUUUCACCGUGUUAGCCAGGAUAGUCUCGAUCUCCUGACCUCGUGAUCUGCCUGCCUUGGCCUCCCAAAGUGCUGGGAUUACAGGCGUGAGCCACUGCACCAGGCCAGUUUUUUUGUUUGUUUGUUUGUUUGUUUUUUGAGACAGAGGCUCACUCUGUCGCCCAGGCUGGAGUGCAGUGGCGCGAUCUCGGCUCACUGCAACCUCUGCCUCCCAAGCAAUUCUCCUGCCUCAGCCUCCUGAGUAGCUGGGAUUAAAGGUGUGUGCCACCACGCCUGGCUAAUUUUUGUAUUUUUAGUAGAGACGGGGUUUCACCAUGUUGGCCAAGCUAGUCUCGAACUCCUGACCUUGUGAUCUACCUGCCUCGGCCUCCCAAAGUGCUAGGAUUAUAGGUGCAAGCCACCGUGCCCAGCCAGUUGUUUUUAAUCACAAGGACAAGUCAGACUUAAUGCAUAGCAGGGGAGAGAAAUUUUGAGAGCUUUUGUUUGAGGUAAGGGUUAGAAAAAUAGCUGGAUGGGUCUCUUUGAGUGAGAUAUGGUCAGAAGGGUGAAGCUGAAGAUAUAGGGCAAACUGAGUUGAUCUGCAUGAGAGAGUUAACAGGCAUUUGGGGGCUGGAAGCUGACAGACCAGAGAGGGGGAAAGUCUUGGAAAAGGUUAGCAGCAGAGUGAGAGGUCAAGAAGAGAGCACAAGUCAGAGCCUGGUUAGGAAGCUCCCAUAGUGGCAAAUGACCAAGGUGUUUCUAGGACAGUAAUGCCUCAUGUCCAGCCUUAAAUUGCUACCUAGGUUAUGCUGUGGUGUCGCCUUUUGUUACCAUCAAACCUCCAAUAAAACUGCGUAACACGGCCGGGUGCGGUGGCUCACGCCUGUAAUCCCAGCACUUUGGGAGGCUGAGGAGGGCAGAUCACUUCAGGUCAGGAGUUCAAGACCAGCCUGGCCAACAUGGCGAAACCCUGUCUCUACUAAAAAUACAAAAAUUAGCUGGGUGUGGUGGCACAUGCCUGUAGUCCCAGCUACUCAGGAGGCUGAGGCGGGAGAAUUGCUUAAAGCCAGGAAGCAGAGGUGGCGGUAAGCCGAGAUCACGCCACUACAUUCCAGCCUGGACAACAGAGCAAGACUCCAUCUCAAAACAAAAACAAAGGCUAGGUGCAGUGGCUCACGCCUGUAAUCUCAUCACUUUGGGUGGCUGAGGCAGGCGGAUCACAUGAGGUCAGGAGUUCGAAACCAGCUUGGCCAUCAUGGUGAAACCCCUUCUCUACUAAAAAUACAAAAAAUUAGCUGGGCAUGGUGGUGCACGCCUGUAAUCCCAGCUACUUGAGAGACUGAGGCAAGAGAAUUGCUUGAACCCGGGAGGCAGAGGUUGCGGUGAGCCGAGGUUGUGCCAUUGCACUCCAGCCUGGGCAACAAGAGCGAGAUUCCAUCUCAAAAAAAAAAAAAAAAACUGGUCUCAAAGAGGGAGUUGUGAGAACCCCAACUUGAAGCUGGUUGCUCUCAAGUUCCAGAGGCCCGGACUUGCGACUGACGUCUGGGGAGCUGGGGGCAGCAGUCUUGGGGACUGAGCUGUGAGAUCUGAUACUAUCUCUGGGUCUAUAGUGCUGGCAUUGAAUUGGAGAACACCCAGCUGGUGUUCACUGCUUGGUGUGUGGUGGAAAAACCCUCACACAUUUGGUCACAGAAGCCCUUUUCUGUGUUGAUGAUUGUUGUGGUGGUGUGAGAACAGAGGGAAAACACCGUUUGCAGAGUUUUUCCUGAAACAAUACUCUUUAGAGCGAUAGAAAUAAAUACCACGACCUGCGCAUUCAAAGCUGUUGUAUCUGGAUUGUGACUGCGUGGAAGGUCGAGGCGGGAAGACAGGGGCUGUUGCUUUUCGUUAUAAACUCUGCAUUACUUGAUUUUUGCACUACGUACAUUUACUUUGAUAACACUGAAAAGAAUAAAUUGGCCAUGUAGUGUAGCUUCCAGAAAAAAAACUAUUGCUUGGGUUUCAAGGUCAAGGAAAUUUCAUUCUCAUCAGUUUCUUGGGAAAGAGGAAGUGGAAUGAUGUUGUCAGAAAGUGAAACCAUGGGUCAUUUUCAGAACUACUCAGAGUAAUAAAUAUUUUUUGUCAGUUUUGUUCUUACAAGUGAAAUGGACCGCAGAGAGGCACUUUUUCUUUUCUUUUUUCUUUCUUUCUUUUUUUUUUUUUUGAGAUGAAGUCUCGCUCUUGUACCCCAGGCUGCAGUGCGAUGGCGUGAUCUCGGCUCACUGCACCCUCCACCUCUCCAGUUCAAGCGAUUCUUCUGCCUCAGCCUCUUGAGUAGUUGCGAUUACAGGUGUGUACCACCAUGCCCGGCUAAUUUUUUUUGUAUUUUUAGUAGAGAUGGGGUUUCACCAUGUUGGCCAGGCUGGUCUCGAACUCCUGACCUCAGGUGAUCCGCCUGCCUCAGCCUCCCAAAGUGCUGGGAUUACAGGCAUGAGCCACCACGCGCGGCCGACACAUUUUUAAUAGAACCAAGGAGAGCUUGCUUUUUGAGAGAGGGCAGCUGAGAGAGGGGGCCUAAGAGAAUCACAUCCUAGUUCCAGUAGGAUGUCCUCUAGGCCACCAGGCUGGCUUAAUGGCCAAGGUGCUUUCCAGAGAGAGGAAGCCCUGGGGAAGGAUGAUAGAGAGUACAGAAAACAGGGAGUACACAAUGGCUGCAUGACCGAGUUCAGGCCCUGGGAAGGUAUGGAAGCUGGAUCCUACCUGUGCUAGCAGACCUGGAGUUGUGGCCACAGAGGGCCGAUAAGAUUGUGAGUACAGGACUACUGAGGGCUACUGAAGGAUCGCAAAGAAGUGUUUGCACUGGCCGAGUGCAGUAGCUCAUGCUUGUAAUCCUAGCACUUCAGGAGGCCAAGGCAGGUGGAUCACUUGAGUCCAGGAGUUCAUGAUCAGCUUGGGCAACAUAGCAAGACCCUGUCUCUAUACACACACACACACACACACACAACACACACACACACACACUCAACACACACACACACACACACUCUUACACUUAGCCGGGUAUGGCGGCAUGCGCCUGUAGUCACAGCUACUCAGGAGGUUAAGCUCCUCCUCAGCUACUCAGGGGGUUUCACCAUGUUGGCCAGGGUGGUCUUGAACUCCUAAUCUCAAGUGAUCCGCAUGCCUCGGCCUCCCAAAGUGCUGGGAUUACAGGCGUGAGCCACCCUGCCCACCCAGAAUGAACUUUCAAAAGGGAACAAGGAUUAGAGAAGGGAGUGACACCGAAUAGAACCAGAGAGAAGGGGCUUGGGGGCAGGAAGUUGAGAGCUCACACCUAAGUUUCCAUUUCCUCUGAGGUGGGAGGCAAAGUCAACAGCGUGGGGGUUGAGGUGGGAGGGGUCCGGCUUGAGCAGAGCAGUGCAAUAGCACGCACCAACUCCUCCACCUUCCAGCCCAGUCCCCAUCCCCCAUUCCCAUGGCGCUUUCUUCACAAUUUUAGCUGGUGGAGCCUCUCUCGUGAGGCCAUCCUUUCUCCUUGCCUACCGCAUCCCAAGGAGAACUCAGCUACGUGAAGGGAUGUCACUACCCCUGCAAUAUGUAUAUGUGAAAUAUGUUGGGCGUGGUGGCUCACGCCUGUAAUCCCAGCACUUUGGGAGGCCGAGGCAGGCAGAUCAUGAGGUCAGGAGUUCAAGACCAGCCUGGCCAACAUGGUGAAACCCCCUCUCUACUAAAAUACAAAAAUUAGCCAGGCAUGGUGGUGUGCACCUGUAAUCUCAGCUACUUGGGAGGCUGAGGCAGGAGAAUUGCUUGACACUGGGAGGCGGAGGUUGUGGCGAGCCGAAAUCAUGCCACUGCACUCCAGCCUGGGCAACAGAGCUAGACUCCUUCUCCAAAAAAAAUUUAAAAAAUGAAAAAUAAGUUGGGCAUGGUGGCACACGCCUGUGGCCCCAGCUACAUGGGAGGUUGAAGUGGGAGGAUUGUUGGAGCCCAGGAAGUUGAGGCUGUAGUGAGCUGCAGUCACGCCACUGCACUGCAGCCUGGGUGACAGAGCCAAAUCUUGUCUCAAAAAAAAAAAAAAAAUGCAUUGAGCACAGUGGCUCACACCUGUAAUCUCAACAGUUUUGGAGGCUGAGGCAAGAGGAUCACUGAAGGCCAGGAGUUAGCAACCAGCCUGGGCAACACAGCAAGACCUUGUCUCUACAAAAAAAUUUAAAAAUUUGCCAGGCGAGGUGGUGCAUGCCUAUAGUCCCAGCUACUCAAGAAGCUUAGGUGAGAGGAUUGCUUGAGCCCAGGGAUUCGAGGCUACAUUGCGCCAUGAAUGUGCCACUGCACUCCAGCCUGAGUGACAGAGCAAGACCCUGUCUCAAAAAAAAAAGAAAAAACAGUGAAAUGCAUUUUUCUUCCAACUGAGCCUGUGACAGUGACAGUUGUCUCUUGGUGUAUUUGUUCUCUUUGUUUAUUUGUUUGUUCCUUGUCUGUCUCCCACACUGAUGGGCAAGCAGCGUAAGAGCAGAGGCUUUGCCUGUAAUUACCACUGUGUUUCUAGCGCCUAGAACAUCACCUGGGGCAGGACAUACCAUACAUAUCUGUGAAUAUACGAAAGAAUGGAUGAUGCCCCAGUCUCUUUCCCCUGCUAUAGAUGGACCUCCCACCCGAGAAUGCAGGCAGAAGUCACUUUGGGUCCAGUAACUGAAAUUCCUGUGCUGUGCAGUCUAAUUCCAAAGCCUCAUCUGGACACACGACCCUGGGCAGGCUCCCCGUCCUGCGCUGGCCAUUGGCUACUGGGGCCAAGAGGCUGGCUGGGAAGCAGUGGCAAUGCAAUGCUGGGGAGGUGGAGUUCCAGCUUCCCCUUUGUUUCUCCCCAUUCCUCUAGUUGUCCAUGACAUUUUCAAGGAACACGAGUGAGUCUGUUGCAGUUCCGGGUGGUUUCGGUGGAAAGGAUUUGGCAAGGCCUUCCACAGUGAAGAGGGCGUGGGAGUGCGAGAGCAGCUGAAGGCAGUCGCCACGUCAGCUUCACUUUCAUUUCUCCGAAGGGCAUUUCCAGGGUGUCAGGGACAGAAAUCACAUUUUCCUUCACCAGGAAUUUCUGAGACUGUGGGUUUAUUUAGCUUUUUUUUUUUUUUUUUUUUUUUUGAGACGGAGUCUUGCUCUGUUGCCCAGGCUGGAGUGCAGUGGCGCGACCUUGGCUCACUGCAACCUCCAUCUCCCCGGUUCAAGCAGUUCUCCUGUCUUAGCCUCCCAAGUAGCUGGGACUACAGUCGCACGCCACCAUGCCCAGCUAAUUUUUAUAUUUUUAGUAGAGAUGGGGUUUCACACCAUAUUGGUCAGGCUGGUCUUGAACUCCUGACUUCAGGUGAUCCACCCGCCUUGGCCUCCCAAAGUGCUGGGAUUACAGGCAUGAGCCACUGCGUCCGGCGUAUUUAGCAUUUUUAAAAGAAGAUCUUCAGUAAGAAAUAUAGUUGACGUUGUGAUAGUUAUUCACGUAUUCACAUAAAUGAAGCGCUGAAGGGCCCUAGGCUGGCCAUCAAGGGAACAAGUUCCCCACCCCUCCCCUCCCCCCAUCUCCUUUCUCCCCUCUUCUCCUUUCUCCUCUCUGCUCCUCUCCUCUCCACUCCUCUCCUCUCCGGUCCUCUCCUCUCUCCUUUCUCCUCUCCUCUUCUCUCCUUUCUUCUCUCCUCUCCUUUUUCUCCUCUCCUUUCUCCUCUCCUCUCCUCUGCUCUCCUCUCCUCUCCUCUGCUCUCCUCUCCUCUCCUUUCCCUUCCUUUCCUUUUUGUAGAGACAAAAAAAUGUUGUAGACACACAAAAAAUGUUGCCUAGGCUGGUCUCAAACUCUGGGCCCCAAGUGAUCCUCCGCCCCAGCCUCCCAAAGUACCAGGAUUACAGGCAUGAGCCACUGCACCUGGCCAGAGGGAAUAGGUUUCCUGUUCCCACUCAGCUGUUGCACUUGGAAUAAGAUGCUUAACGUCUCCUUGCAGGCUUCUGAAAAGCUUCCAAGAGAUGUUGCAUGCAAAAGAGCUCUGUGUGCAGAAGAUCACCAAGCAUGAGGCAUUAUUAAGGGCAAACCAACCAAGUUCUAUUUACAAUAGCAAGUGUCUUCUAAGAAGGGCAGCUACCGACCAGGAGAGUCCCCUAUUCUCCCUGCAGAGGAUCUGCAGAUCUGCAAAGCUGGCCGGGUUAGGAAUGAAGUUUGCUGGUAGGAACUGGGGAAUGUUGAAUUCCUCUGGGUUAUAGAAGGGGAGAAUUUGGAGUUCUGGGAGGGAAGGUGAUGAGAAGAAGGGAUGGAAAGAUGAGAAGGGAAGCCAGCAGGAUGGUGCAAAGGUGGGAGUGAACCCGAGGGCUAGAUUAGGCCUGCAGAACUUAACCUACCUUACUUGAUUUUAGUCACUUGCUUCUAGUUGAUCUUAAAACCUAUAUAGCUGCUGGGGGCAGUGGCUCACACUUGUAAUCCCAGCACUUCGGGAGGCCGAGGCUGGAGGAUCACUUGAGCCCAGGAGUUCAAGACCAGCCUAGGCAACACAGCGAGACUUUCUCUCUACUGAAAAUAAAAACAAAAAAAAACCAAAAAAAAAA
Long non-coding RNA from Gorilla gorilla gorilla (western lowland gorilla), 8176 nucleotides. RefSeq lists it as uncharacterized. Lineage: Eukaryota; Metazoa; Chordata; Mammalia; Primates; Hominidae. The transcript has 5 exons. The record is from RefSeq and is a predicted model, not a curated record.